RNAcentral lists this ribosomal RNA (421 nucleotides) under uncultured bacterium. Its description in RNAcentral is "bacterial SSU rRNA". It matches the Rfam family "Bacterial small subunit ribosomal RNA", at positions 355 to 774 of the family's 1533-position model. The record is from RNAcentral.
UAAGGAAUAUUGGUCAAUGGACGCAAGUCUGAACCAGCCAUGCCGCGUGAAGGAUGAAGGUCCUCUGGAUUGUAAACUUCUUUUAUCUGGGACGAAAACGGGAUUUUUAUCUCAAUUGACGGUACCAGAGGAAUAAGCACCGGCUAACUCCGUGCCAGCAGCCGCGGUAAUACGGAGGGUGCGAGCGUUAUCCGGAUUUACUGGGUUUAAAGGGUGCGUAGGUGGGCUUAUAAGUCAGUGGUGAAAUCUCCGAGCUUAACUUGGAAACUGCCGUUGAUACUAUAGGUCUUGAAUUGUCUGGAGGUAAGCGGAAUAUGUCAUGUAGCGGUGAAAUGCUUAGAUAUGACAUAGAACACCAAUUGCGAAGGCAGCUUACUACACAAUCAUUGACGCUGAGGCACGAAAGCGUGGGUAGCGAACA